RNAcentral lists this transfer RNA (77 nucleotides) under Serratia marcescens. Its description in RNAcentral is "tRNA-Ile". It matches the Rfam family "tRNA". Rfam says of the family: Transfer RNA (tRNA) molecules are approximately 80 nucleotides in length. Their secondary structure includes four short double-helical elements and three loops (D, anti-codon, and T loops). Further hydrogen bonds mediate the characteristic L-shaped molecular structure. tRNAs have two regions of fundamental functional importance: the anti-codon, which is responsible for specific mRNA codon recognition, and the 3' end, to which the tRNAs corresponding amino acid is attached (by aminoacyl-tRNA synthetases). tRNAs cope with the degeneracy of the genetic code in two manners: having more than one tRNA (with a specific anti-codon) for a particular amino acid; and 'wobble' base-pairing, i.e. permitting non-standard base-pairing at the 3rd anti-codon position. Lineage: Bacteria; Pseudomonadati; Pseudomonadota; Gammaproteobacteria; Enterobacterales; Yersiniaceae. The record is from RNAcentral.
AGCCCUUUAGCUCAGUUGGUUAGAGCAGUCGGCUUAUAACUGAUUAGUCGCUGGUUCAAGCCUAGCAAGGGCCACCA